This 253-nucleotide ribosomal RNA is filed under the name uncultured bacterium. RNAcentral's name for it is "partial 16S ribosomal RNA". It matches the Rfam family "Bacterial small subunit ribosomal RNA", at positions 524 to 776 of the family's 1533-position model. The record is from RNAcentral.
UACGAAGGGGGCUAGCGUUGUUCGGAAUCACUGGGCGUAAAGGGCGCGUAGGCGGCCGAUCAAGUCGGGGGUGAAAGCCUGUGGCUUAACCACAGAAUGGCCUUCGAUACUGUUUGGCUUGAGACCGGAAGAGGUUAGUGGAACUGCGAGUGUAGAGGUGAAAUUCGUAGAUAUUCGCAAGAACACCAGUGGCGAAGGCGGCUGACUGGCCCGGUACUGACGCUGAGGUGCGAAAGCGUGGGGAGCAAACAGG